This 3339-nucleotide long non-coding RNA is filed under the name Helianthus annuus (common sunflower). RNAcentral describes it as "sRNA HanXRQr2_Chr05g0209491". Lineage: Eukaryota; Viridiplantae; Streptophyta; Magnoliopsida; Asterales; Asteraceae. The record is from RNAcentral.
UUUGCAAAACCCUAGAAAACUCUUCAGACCUUGAAUCCUAAUCCUAAUCUACUCUUCUUGGAUCGUCGCCACCCAAAAGUUGCCUGUAAAGAUUGUAUUCAUGGUAAGUUUCUGUAUCCGAUUCAAAGUUCUUGACAUUUGAUUUUGAUAUUGGUUCUGGAAGAGAGCCACCCCUCUUUUGUUUUACGCAUAAAUCCUCCAUUCUAUGUUUUGAUCUGAAGCUAACUCAAUCCACAAUCAAGGUUUCAAAGAAGAAAUUUAUGGUUUCCAUUUCCCCAUCGAAUUCAUCGUUUCAAAUCUCUAAACCUCUGAUUCGUUGAACCCUAAAUAGUUCCUUCAUUCGCCAAACCCCAAAUCCUUCAUUCGCGAAACCCUAAAUCGUUUCGAUUUCCCUAUCGCUGUGUCUCCUCUUCCUUUACCAGUGAACCCUAAAUCCAUCUCCCCAAACCCUCUCAUCUUCCCCAGCAAUAUUCUGUCAGUAGAUCUAAAUCUGAACAAAUAUUGUAACGACUUGAGGGUUGCCAUGCUAGCGGCUAUGGUUCAUAUUCGAUAGCAAUCGUUGAUUUGGGUGAUCUACGAUCUACUUGAAAAAUCAUCUGGUCAUUUGGAACUCAGAGAGGACCUAGAGCAGGGGAUAGUUGUAGCUGGGCUAAGAUGUAUCAAGAUCAACUCAGCUGAUAAGAUUCUUGAGCUUUUCAAUGUUGGGAACAGUAGGCGCAAAAUUGACAACACAGAUGCGAACGAGACAUCAUCACGGUCUCGUGAACUUUUGGAAAUAACUGUGCUUAGAAAACAGAAAAGGAAAUACCAUAGUCAAGUUAUUUGUGGUAAACUCGCACUUGUGGAUCUUGCUGGGAGGAUUGUUUUCGAAGCCCUAGAUAUGGCAUACAUCUUCCUUCUCAAUGAAGCCUCUUAAAUCUAAACAUUCAAGCAUCAGGUACAAACAUCUCAUAAGAAAAUCCGUUGCAGUUUGAAGGUCUAUUGUAAACUUCACAAACAUCUCAUACGAAGAUUUGUCAGGUACUUUCAUUUGUUUGGGUCUACUCCAUUCCAAUGGAUCGUUAUUGCGAUGUUUACACUUUACAUAUGUAGCAUCUGUUAUACUGCAGGAGAACUAUUGCAUUCUAUUCUAUUUAUAAAAUCUAAGUUUUGCAUGUAGAUUGGUAAUUUCAUUUUUUGUGCACUAUUAUCAUUUCUAAGUGUAACCAUUUUAGGCGAAAGCUGGGGCUGGUUCUGCAACAUUAUCAAUGACGUAUGCAGCAGUUAAGUUUGCAGAUCGCUGUCUCAAGGGCUUAAAAGGAGAUGCUGACAUUAUGGAGUGUGCUUUUAUAGAAUCUCGGGUUUGGUUUGGAAGAAGUUAAAAAAGAGUUGGCAGGAAGCAUUGAGAAAGGAGUUUGUACCUUAAAUAGAUGUAUCAGAAUACCUAUUUAUACAUGUGCAGGAACUAGAUGGAACCAAAAAUGAGCGGGGUUGGUGCAAGCAAAAGCUUGGCGCAAAUGCCAUUCUGGCGGUGUCUCUUACAGCUGCAAAGCGGGAGCGAGUGUCAAAAACAUUCCUCUUUACAAGACAUAUGAACUGUUGAAAAAAGGUCAGAAGACGCUUUAGAUAUAUUAUAUUGGGUUUUUUAAAAAGCUGAAAACUUGAGGAGAAAAUGGAAGUUGUAAAUGAACAAGAUUCUCAUCAUCCACUCCAUCCUGUUCGUGCUUCAACUCCUUAACAUAUAAACAGAUACACGGAGUUCACCAGCGGGAUUUGAUAAUGAAGUUUUAAAUGUUGAAUUUGAGAAAAUGGCUAAAGCUUUUGUGGUUGGAGUUUCCACAUAUUCACAAUCUUUGCCUCUUACGGUACUAUAUUGUUAAGAUAUUAUCUUUUAUGAAUAAAAAGUCAUAGAAAUCCUUCAAAGUCUUGGGCUUGAUGCUUGUAGAGGAGGUGAUCUAUCAAAAGUCAUAGAAUCCUUCAAAGUCAUGGACUUGAUGCACUAUCUAAACAAAAUCAAUAAGGGGAUACUUAUCUAUAUGUUGCUGCAGAGAAUGGGCAUGUUUAUGUAGGGAGCUUUUCGAACACGCUUUCUAUCUUUGAUAAUGGAAUUUUCUUCAAAAUGAACUCGACUUGAAUAGAUGAUGCUUAGGGACCGUGGUUGGUCAUGCAAGGCGUGAGGAAAAAAGCUUGUUUGUUUGGCAUUGAUAUAGGCUGAUCAACAGUUCGGUUAUAGAAAUGGCUUUUUUGACACAUGUGCAUAUGACAUCCAUCACUUUCAAAGCAUGACUUACAACCAGUUCUGCAUAAGAGCAUAGUACCAAAUCUUACUGGCCAGUCGGAGCGGAAAGUAGCUACACAAGUAGCCCAGUCAAGUACUCUUGAACCGCCUUCAUUUGGGCCAGUCGGUUCUGUGCUGGUUAUUGAACCGACGAACCGGAUUGAUGCAUUGCUGUGGCGUACGAACGACCACACCCAUGAAAGGAAGUCCCGGAUCUGGUGGUGACGCGACUAGGGUUCCGUCGUUGGAGCUGUGACUGUGGCGUACGAACGGGUAUUCAGGUCAACGGUGGUGGUUGUGGCAGCAAGAACAAAACAUAUUGUAUUGGACUUUGCUUCUGUUGCGGGUAAAAAAUGCACUUACGACGCCCUAUGAUUGAACCAGAAAGUUUGUUGGAGGGUAUUGACAACCUAUCAAAGUCAAAGACAAAGCACACAUGAAUCGGUUGAAAAGAAGGUGAAAGUCGGUUACAAGUGGGAUUGAAAGUUUUGUGUAUAUAUAUAUAUAUCUAUUAUAUAUAUGCACCCUGCGUAAAAGCCUUGAUGGGGGGAACUCGAAGUAAUUCUGAAUAUUCUUAUUUUUGUGAUCAAUAAUGCUAUACAUCAUUGCCGGUAUUUGUGGGUUUACUAUUGUGAUUGAAAAUACCAGUUUUUAACUGUCUCCAGUUGGAAACAUACCAUAUUGAUAGGCAGGCUCCUGAAGACCCAAUACCCGACUCGACGCCUGACCCACGACCCGACCCGACCGGAGUCACAUGGGAAGCACAUGGUUCAAUUGGAUUUAGUCAAUUUCUGUCAACAUUUGAUCACAAGCAGUACCCACGUUUUCUACAUAUCAAUCAAGAGUUAUUUUAUUUCCAUGUCAAUUUUAAUCUCUUUCUUAUUUUCGUUUAUUUUGAAUUAGUCUAGAACAGUUAUUUAUGUUUCCCUAAAUGUAGCUACGUGGGUGGUUGUAUCCCCUUUCUUCCAUAUGUAUUGAACAAUUCAUGAAUGAGAAGGGCAGUGAGUUUUAGAAUGAAAAUCUUUGUGUUAAUUAUCUCAUGUUUGUGGGUUAAUUAAUUCGUCUAUGCUAGCUCAACCGUG